This 61-nucleotide transfer RNA is filed under the name Trioza anthrisci. RNAcentral describes it as "tRNA-His". The record is from RNAcentral. Lineage: Eukaryota; Metazoa; Arthropoda; Insecta; Hemiptera; Triozidae.
UUAAAAUAGUUUAAAUAAAAUAUUGAUUUGUGGUGUCAAAGAUUAAAAUUUAUUUUAAUAU